This 600-nucleotide long non-coding RNA is filed under the name Naja naja (Indian cobra). Its description in RNAcentral is "lncRNA (ENSNNAG00000008100.1)". Lineage: Eukaryota; Metazoa; Chordata; Lepidosauria; Squamata; Elapidae. The record is from RNAcentral.
UGUGUGCCUUUUGCUUCUAUAAAUGCUUGUACUCUAUAUAUCCCUGAAAUGCAUGUUUUCUUCCAAGCAGGACCAUGUACCCCACAAGGCCAGUGUUUCGGGGUGGAGCCAUGUUUCAGAUAUCUCUGCAUGGGCAAAGGCCAGAAUCUCAGCCACAGGCGGCUGAGGCUAGAGGGGCUGCAGAAAUUUGGGGCAAAAUCUUUCCUCCAACAUUCAAGACAGAAAGAACACACCCAUCAUCAAGAGGUGUCCCAAAGGAGCCUUUUGUGACUAUUCCAACAUUGUCAUCCAUGGUUCACGGACUUAGCCUUGAGACUCCUCCUAGGCCUCCUUUGGGUGAGUUCCCUUGCUAUUUAGGAUCUUCUUUUCUUAUACCUCAGUUGAUUAUCUUUGGAAGUGUAAGAAGAACUUGUGUUCUGCCUCGACUUUGUUUUUCAAGCAGUCUGUUCAGGCCGAGGCAUUGCAGGGAGAGGAAUGGGUGACAUGCUCAUAAAACCCAACGCAGAUAUCCCGGGACAGCAGAUGAAUGCAGGGUUGAGAGCAGGACCAGCUGGAGACAGCAAGGUGGAACGGGGGCUUCCCAGCCGCGGCAAGUGAGUU